AAGGACUCUUCCCUAUUAAAGGACUCUUCACUUCUGCUGAAGACACCACACAGUGUUUGCUUCCCUAUUAAAGGACUCUUCCCUAUUAAAGGACUCUUCUGCUGAAGACACCACCCAGUGUUUGUUCACUUCCCUAUUAAAGGACUCUUCUGCUGAAGACACUUCCCUAUUAAAGGACUCUUCUGCUGAAGACACCACCCAGUGUUUGUUCACUUCCCUAUUAAAGGACUCUUCUGCUGAAGACACUUCCCUAUUAAAGGACUCUUCUGCUGAAGACACCACCCAGUGUUUGUUUACUUCCCUAUUAAAGGACUCUUCCCUAUUAAAGGACACUUCUGCUGAAGACACCACAACGGCGGCUGGAGAAGGUGAAGAGGAUGGUGGCGCUUAACAGCGGCUGAAGAAGGCGAAUCCACAGGUCUACGAACAGCACCAGCUGGCACCACGUGGAGGAAGCCACUGAGGAUGAACACACUGAGGAGACCCCCAGAUGACCCCCUGAUGGCACCAUGUGAGCCUGAGGAGACCCCCAGAUGAACACACUGAGCCUGCGGAGACCCCCAGAUGGCACCAUGUGGAGGAGCACACAGGUCUGCUAGUUUCUUGAGAUGAGUGAAGAGGACAGAUCAGACGAUGUGUUUCUAGAAGGUUCUCCAUCACCGAGCGGUGAGCCCUUCCUCUCCCCUUAUGGACCGCUCACACCAAUCCCCUCCGCUGAACACUCUCUGGCUUCACGUUUCCAAAGUUCCUUCGCCUGAGAGCCGAUCAUGAGGAAAAUGUCUGAUCCACAGAAGGAACACACACCUCCUGAAAGUGGAAUCAGACACACACCUCCUGAAAGCUGAAUCAGACACACACCUCCUGAAAGCUGAAUCAGACACACACCUCCUGAAAGCUGAAUCAGACACACACCUCCUGAAAGCUGAAUCAGACACACACCUCCUGAAAGCUGAAUCAGACACACACCUCCUGAAAGCUGAAUCAGACACACACCUCCUGAGAGUGGAAUCAGACACACACCUCCUCAGAGAUGUAAGAGUCUCUCCGCCAGCUGUGGGUUCUUAGGUCUAAAAGGGAAUGUGCACUGAAUGUGAAAUGUUAGCAGCUCUGCCUACCAGAAAUAAACUAAUGUCCAGUGCUGGGAGGGUAACUUUUAGAAUGUAUUUGAACACACCAUGACAACACGCCAUGACAACACACCAUGACAACAGUCUAUGACAGAACAAUAACUCAGGUAGCAGGAAUAAGAUGUUCAGUCAAGGGUGCUGAGGCCUGGUAAGGGACUGAAGCACUGAGCACUGACUGUUUGAGAAAUGCUGCCUUCUGGCAAUAUUUGAAUUUGACAGCUAAUAGGCUACACGUGACGAUUUAAAAAGUAAUCCCUUCGAGGGAUCAACGUACCUGUAUUCUGAUUACCACCAGUUUUAAUUGUAACUGUAUCU
Molecule: long non-coding RNA, 1442 nt
Organism: Clupea harengus (Atlantic herring)
Lineage: Eukaryota; Metazoa; Chordata; Actinopteri; Clupeiformes; Clupeidae
Source: Ensembl